Molecule: long non-coding RNA, 2196 nt
Filed under: Sus scrofa (pig)
Lineage: Eukaryota; Metazoa; Chordata; Mammalia; Artiodactyla; Suidae
Description: lncRNA (ENSSSCG00015074337.1)
Source: RNAcentral
UUUUUUUUUUUUUUUUUUGAGUAUCUUUAUGAACUUCUCUAUUUUAGCAUAUAUUAUGUGUUUUAGUCCAUUUCAGUUAUUGUCCUUUUGUUGCUCAAAUUGCCCUAUCUUUGGGCAUAUAGGCUUAUUCAGAUUCACUCUGAGUCCUUAGGACACACUAACCUCUUGUAGUUUCCUUGCUUUCUGGUAUAAUGAGAUGGUCAGGGCUCAUCCUGUAACCAUCCUAUUCCAGGUUUGGAAUCAGAACAGACCAUUUUUAUUUUAUUUAUUUUAUUUUUUUGUCUUUUUUUUUUAAGGGCCAUUCCCACGGCAUAUGGAUUUUCCAAGGCUAGGGGUCUAAUCGGAGCUUUAGCUGCCAGCCUGUGCCACAGCCACAGCAGCGCAGGAUCUGAGCUGUGUCUGUAACCUACACCACAACUCAUAGCAACACCAGGUUCUUAACCCACUGAUUGAGGCCAGGGAUUGAACCUGCAACCUCAUGGUUACUAGUCAGGUUCGUUCAUCACUGAACCAAGAUGGGAACUCCAGAACAUCCCUUUUUAAAAGAAAAAAAAAAAACCCUAAAUGACCAACAAAUAUAUUAAAAUACUCAGUUUUACUAGUAUUAAAGAAAUGAAAUUAAAAGUAGAAGAUACCAUUUGUUAUGAAUAGAAUGGUUCUUCCUCAAAAAAUUUUUUUUUUUUUUUUUUGCUUUUUUUAGGGCCAUACCUGUGACAUAUGGAAGUUCCCACACUGGGGGUCGAAUCACAGCCACAGCCACAACCACCCUGGAUCCUUGACCCACUGAGUGAGGCCAGGGAUAGAACCUGCAUCCACAUGGGUACUAGUCAGGUUCAUUUUGCUGUGCCACAAUGGUCACUCCUUCCUCAAAUUCUUAGGUUGAAGACCUAACCCCCAGUGUGAUGAUAUUUGAAGAUGGGGCCUUUGGGAGGUAAUUAGGGUUAGGACGGAGCCCUCAAGGUGGAUUAAUACCUUAAUAGGAAGAGACAGACACUGCAGGGCUCACCAACCCCCUCCACAGCACUUCAUUCUCCACCCCCCCACCAUGUACGAAGAAGAGGUCAUAUGAGCACAGCCAGAUGGCAGCCACUUACAGGCAGAGAGAAAUUUACAUUGUUGGCAUCUUUAUCUGGAAGUUUUCAGCCUCCAGAAUUGUGAGAAAUAAAUUUCUGUUGUUUAAGCCACCCUAAACCAUGGUAUUUUUUAAUGGUAGCCUGAGCCAAGUAAGACACCAUUUUUCACUUAUUGCAUUGGCAGUAUAAUUUGGACUCAGUUUAGGCCUUCCUAGAUGUGAAACAGUUUGGUAAAGCUUGAUAUAAAGUAUAUUAUUAGGGUUACUUCUGGUAUCCCUUCUCUUGGUAGUCUUAAUAUUUGGGCAUUGCCCAGUUGGGAAUGGGAAUAAGGAUGAUUGAUAGUGAUUUCCAGUUCUGUGAAGAUAAAGGUAAAUGUAUGAUCUUGGUCUCAGCAGAGAUAUAAACUGACGCAUUUGUUCUAAAUAUGUUCUAAACUAUUAUGUAUCAAAAUGUAUCAAAUGCGUUAUAAAUCAAGAUUUGAAAGCCUUUAAACUAGCAAGUUCAUGUCUAGGAAUUUAUCCUAAACAAUAAUAGGAAAAGUUCGUUAAGAUAUAUGUAUAUAGUAAAGAACUAUUUACUGUGUACAGUCACAUAGUAAAUAAUUUUAAGGAAUUGAUUAAGUAGAUUAUGAUACCUUCAUUGCAUGUAGCCACUGAAAAUGAUGACAUAGAUCUAUAGCAGCUACUCUGGAAAGAUGCCCAUUACAUAUUACUGAGUGAAAAAGGUGGAUUACAGAACUUUAGGUGUAGCACUUGAACAUAAAAUAGGUUGAAAAUGCUGAACAUCAGGGCUUUGGAGGCCAAGAAUCGGAGCUUUGGGGAUCUAGGCUUCAGGGACCGCCUAAUGAUAGUCUCCUUCAGGUGCCAUGGUCUCAAAGAUGGCACCAACUGAUUCCAUUCUCCUGUUAUAAGAUUUAGCUUUCCUUGGGUUCCCUCUGUGGUGCAGUGGGUUAAGAAUCCAACUGCAGCAGCUUGGGGUGCCGGGGAGGUGCAGGUUUGAUUGCAGUGGCUUAAAGGAUCCGGUAUCUCCAUAGCUGUGGUGUAGGCUGGUAGCUUCAGCUCAGAUUCAGCCCCUGGCCUGGGAACUUCCAUAUGCUGUGGAUGUGGCCAUUAAAAAAAAAAAA